This 366-nucleotide ribosomal RNA is filed under the name uncultured organism. RNAcentral describes it as "bacterial SSU rRNA". It matches the Rfam family "Bacterial small subunit ribosomal RNA", at positions 526 to 896 of the family's 1533-position model. The record is from RNAcentral.
CGGAGGAUCCAAGCGUUAUCCGGAAUCAUUGGGUUUAAAGGGUCCGUAGGCGGUUUAAUAAGUCAGUGGUGAAAUCUGGUCGUCUCAACGAUCAAACGGCCAUUGAUACUGUUAGACUUGAAUUACUGGGAAGUAACUAGAAUAUGUAGUGUAGCGGUGAAAUGCUUAGAUAUUACAUGGAAUACCAAUUGCGAAGGCAGGUUACUACCAGUGGAUUGACGCUGAUGGACGAAAGCGUGGGGAGCGAACAGGAUUAGAUACCCUGGUAGUCCACGCCGUAAACGAUGGAUACUAGCUGUUGGGAGCAAUCUCAGUGGCUAAGCGAAAGUGAUAAGUAUCCCACCUGGGGAUACGUUCGCAAGAAUG